GUCGAACGGGAUGCUUAGGCAUCUAGUGGCGGACGGGUGAGUAACGCGUGAGAAUCUGGCUCCAGGUCGGGGAUAACAGUUGGAAACGACUGCUAAUACCGGAUGUGCCGAGAGGUGAAAGAUUUAUUGCCUGGAGAUGAGCUCGCGUCUGAUUAGCUAGUUGGUGGUGUAAGGGACCACCAAGGCGUCGAUCAGUAGCUGGUCUGAGAGGAUGAUCAGCCACACUGGGACUGAGACACGGCCCAGACUCCUACGGGAGGCAGCAGUGGGGAAUUUUCCGCAAUGGGCGAAAGCCUGACGGAGCAAUACCGCGUGAGGGAGGAAGGCUCUUGGGUCGUAAACCUCUUUUCUCAAGGAAGAAGAAAGUGACGGUACUUGAGGAAUAAGCAUCGGCUAACUCCGUGCCAGCAGCCGCGGUAAUACGGAGGAUGCAAGCGUUAUCCGGAAUGAUUGGGCGUAAAGGGUCUGCAGGUGGAACUGAAAGUCUGCUGUUAAAGAGUUUGGCUUAACCAAAUAAAAGCGGUGGAAACUACAGAACUAGAGUGCGGUAGGGGCAAAAGGAAUUCCUGGUGUAGCGGUGAAAUGCGUAGAUAUCAGGAAGAACACCGGUGGCGAAAGCGUUUUGCUAGACCGUAACUGACACUGAGGGACGAAAGCUAGGGGAGCGAAUGGGAUUAGAUACCCCAGUAGUCCUAGCCGUAAACGAUGGAUACUAGGCGUGGCUUGUAUCGACCCGAGCCGUGCCGGAGCUAACGCGUUAAGUAUCCCGCCUGGGGAGUACGCACGCAAGUGUGAAACUCAAAGGAAUUGACGGGGGCCCGCACAAGCGGUGGAGUAUGUGGUUUAAUUCGAUGCAACGCGAAGAACCUUACCAAGACUUGACAUCCUGCGAAUCCUGGUGAAAGCUAGGAGUGCCUUAGGGAGCGCAGAGACAGGUGGUGCAUGGCUGUCGUCAGCUCGUGUCGUGAGAUGUUGGGUUAAGUCCCGCAACGAGCGCAACCCUCGUUUUUAGUUGCCAGCAUUAAGUUGGGCACUCUAGAGAGACUGCCGGUGACAAACCGGAGGAAGGUGAGGAUGACGUCAAGUCAGCAUGCCCCUUACGUCUUGGGCUACACACGUACUACAAUGCUACGGACAGAGGGCAGCGAGCCAGGGAUGGCAAGCGAAUCCAGAAACCGUAGCUCAGUUCAGAUCGAAGGCUGCAACUCGCCUUCGUGAAGGAGGAAUCGCUAGUAAUUGCAGGUCAGCAUACUGCAGUGAAUUCGUUCCCGGGCCUUGUACACACCGCCCGUCACACCAUGGAAGUUGGUCACGCCCGAAGUCAUUACCCCAACCGAAAGGAG
Molecule: ribosomal RNA, 1343 nt
Filed under: Cylindrospermopsis raciborskii PMC287.06
Lineage: Bacteria; Bacillati; Cyanobacteriota; Cyanophyceae; Nostocales; Aphanizomenonaceae
Description: bacterial SSU rRNA
Rfam family: Bacterial small subunit ribosomal RNA
Source: RNAcentral